GAGAGCAUUCCAAGAAAGCCCUACAGAAGCUCCAAGGCUUCACCUAAGCUAGCCUCUAUAGUCACUCUACCACACUUCUAUUGCACUGUCUCUGUUGUGGGCUAAGGUCAGGGCCAGCCCAGAUUCAAUGGAAGGGGACUACAAAGAGCAUGCAUGAAUACAGGAUUCUUGAUUCAUCAGUGAGGAGGGGGAAGAUCUUUUGGAGGCAACACAUCAGACUCUUGCUCAUCUUUUUCUGCCCCUUCAGAUAUGUCAAAGAGAAGAGGAAGUGUGUCAUGUGAAGACUAAAGAAACUUUUAGAUCUGCUCCAUCUGGGUUCACAGCCUGACUCCAUCAAUGACCAGCCACGUUAUAUAUAUAUUUUUCCCUGAUACUAUCUCUCUAAGGGAAUUGACAAUACCUGCUGAUAUUGUAGGGUUAUUGUGAGAAUUAAAAAUAAAAUGGGAACAGCUUUUGCUGUAAAGUAGACCGUGGGCAAAUGGUGGUUAUUGUUCACAUUAUUUUCAAAAUCUAAGAAAUAAAAACUUAUUUAACAUGAGAAA
RNAcentral lists this long non-coding RNA (542 nucleotides) under Homo sapiens (human). RNAcentral describes it as "long non-coding RNA NONHSAT198372". The record is from RNAcentral. Lineage: Eukaryota; Metazoa; Chordata; Mammalia; Primates; Hominidae.